Molecule: ribosomal RNA, 305 nt
Filed under: uncultured bacterium
Lineage: Bacteria
Description: partial 16S ribosomal RNA
Rfam family: Bacterial small subunit ribosomal RNA
Source: RNAcentral
ACAGCAGCCACCACGGUAAUACAGAGGGUGCGAGCGUUAAUCGGAUUUACUGGGCGUAAAGCGUGCGUAGGCGGCUUUUUAAGUCGGAUGUGAAAUCCCUGAGCUUAACUUAGGAAUUGCAUUCGAUACUGGGAAGCUAGAGUAUGGGAGAGGAUGGUAGAAUUCCAGGUGUAGCGGUGAAAUGCGUAGAGAUCUGGAGGAAUACCGAUGGCGAAGGCAGCCAUCUGGCCUAAUACUGACGCUGAGGUACGAAAGCAUGGGGAGCAAACAGGAUUAGAUACCCGUGUAGUCCCUGUCUCUUAUAA